GCUUAAAUGAGAUAACAUAGAGCUUAAUACAGCACCUGGCACUUGGUAGGUGCUCAAUAAAUGCUGAUUGUGCCUCUUGCCUGCUUCAUGACUUUGAUCAGCCUCUGUCUUGCAGUCUACCCAUCUGUCUGUCAUCCAUAAGGGCCUUCCCCUAGCUGAGUACAGAGCCUUUAAGACAGCUGGGAUUGGUUGGCAAGAAGCCAAAUGAACCCUGGGAAAGGAGCAUUCCGUUUUAGCUAGGGCCUUGCUUACCACAUACUCCCUGUGUGCUCCUGCCAGAGGACUACUGUGUGGACUUCCUGUGGCCACUGUGACUCCCACUUGGCUCUUCUCAGAGCCCUUAGCAGCCCCUGUAGUCACAUCACUAUUUGGUGAGCUAGCAGCAUCUGCUUCUCCCCACUGGAAUGCAAGUGCCUCAGGAGCUGUGUCACCAGUGUUCCAGUGCCUGGCACCCGGGGCACGCAGACGUGUGCAGAACACAUGGCCGUCUCUGUUUUUCCUUCUCUGAAGUCAGGCCUGUUCUCCCUUCCAGCACAGCCACUUUCUGGUAGUGGCAAAUCCCCUACCUCUUUCAGCUCCACUUCCCUUGUGUCUAGAACAGGAGAAAGAGCAGAACCAGACGAAUCCAAUAUUCAGCCAGGCCUGGAACUAGUAAUACUGUAAUGUCAGCUGCUGUUUUUCCAAAUGUACUCCAAGGGUCCCUCCAGUUCUGACCUUCCGUGCUCUCUCUGCCUUUGGCUGGGAGGAGACAGGGGAGAACAUUCCAUUCCGAACAGACCCUCUCUCCAGGCCUCACAAUGGAUUCGGGGCUCUGUACAAAUUGUUUAUGUUUCCCGGCAGAAUUUAUUACCCAGCCUGGCCUUCUGCAAUUAAUUACCCAGCCAAGCAAAUAACUUGUCCCAGGGAGGCUGGGCUUGGCAUAAACAUUUACAUACAGCUGGGGGCCAGCCCAGGGGCUGGGCUGUCCCAGCAGAUUUUGAAAUGGA
RNAcentral lists this long non-coding RNA (986 nucleotides) under Marmota monax (woodchuck). Lineage: Eukaryota; Metazoa; Chordata; Mammalia; Rodentia; Sciuridae. The record is from RNAcentral.